This 65-nucleotide transfer RNA is filed under the name Ujna puerana. RNAcentral's name for it is "tRNA-Leu". Lineage: Eukaryota; Metazoa; Arthropoda; Insecta; Hemiptera; Cicadellidae. The record is from RNAcentral.
UCUAAUGUGGCAGAUUAGUGCAAGGAACUUAAGAUUCUUAUAUAAAUAUCAAUAUUUCAUUAGAA